RNAcentral lists this ribosomal RNA (477 nucleotides) under uncultured bacterium. RNAcentral describes it as "partial 16S ribosomal RNA". It matches the Rfam family "Bacterial small subunit ribosomal RNA", at positions 29 to 507 of the family's 1533-position model. The record is from RNAcentral.
ACGAACGCUGGCGGCGUGCUUAACACAUGCAAGUCGCACGGGAUUUAGUAAACGGAAGCCUCGGUGGAAGAUUACUAAUGAGAGUGGCGAACGGGUGAGUAACGCGUGAGCAACCUGCCUAUGACAGUGGGAUAGCCUCGGGAAACCGGGAUUAAUACCGCAUAAAAUCGUAGAAACACAUGUUUCAACGGUCAAAGAUUUAUCGGUCAUAGAUGGGCUCGCGUCUGAUUAGCUAGUUGGUGAGAUAACAGCCCACCAAGGCGACGAUCAGUAGCCGGUCUGAGAGGAUGAACGGCCACAUUGGAACUGAGACACGGUCCAAACUCCUACGGGAGGCAGCAGUGGGGAAUAUUGCACAAUGGGGGAAACCCUGAUGCAGCGACGCCGCGUGAACGAAGAAGGUAUUCGUAUCGUAAAGUUCUGUCCUAUGGGAAGAUAAUGACAGUACCAUAGAAGAAAGCUCCGGCUAAAUACGUG